Molecule: ribosomal RNA, 467 nt
Filed under: uncultured bacterium
Lineage: Bacteria
Description: partial 16S ribosomal RNA
Rfam family: Bacterial small subunit ribosomal RNA
Source: RNAcentral
GACGAACGCUGGCGGCGUGCUUAACACAUGCAAGUCGAACGGAAAGGCCCUGCUUUUGUGGGGUGCUCGAGGGGCGAACGGGUGAGUAACACGUGAGUAUCCUGCCCUUGACUUUGGGAUAACUUCAGGAAACUGGGGCUAAUACCGGAUAGGAGCUCCUGCAGCAUGGGGGGGGUUGGAAAGUUUCGGCGGAUGGGGUUGGAGUCGCGGCUUACCAGUUUGUUGGUGGGGUUGUGGCUUACCAAGGCUUUGACGGGUAGCCGGCCUGAGAGGGAGACCGGGCCCAUAGGCCUACGGGAGCGACCCGUGGGGAUUCGGGGGGAAAGGGUGGGAAACUGUGCCAGAUAGGCGGCAGGCUGAAGGAGCACCUCCGCGUGGGGGAUCACGGCCUUCGGGUUGGAAACCGCUUUCGCCUGUAACGAAGCGUGAUGAAGGGAAAUGAGUAAAGAAGCACGGGCUAAUUACGU